GGCAAUCGAUUAGUUAUUCGUCAAAGUUUUAUUUAUUUAAUGACCAGAAUUAAACGGGGAUAUAUAGCUCGGAGACGUAGAACAAAAAUUCGUUUAUUUGCAUCAAGCUUUCGGGGGGCUCAUUCAAGGCUUACUCUAUUUAUUUAAUGACCAGAAUUAAACGGGGAUAUAUAGCUCGGAGACGUAGAACAAAAAUUCGUUUAUUUGCAUCAA
RNAcentral lists this long non-coding RNA (213 nucleotides) under Nicotiana benthamiana. Its description in RNAcentral is "long non-coding RNA (NBEN_LNC006153)". The record is from RNAcentral. Lineage: Eukaryota; Viridiplantae; Streptophyta; Magnoliopsida; Solanales; Solanaceae.